Non-coding RNA from Hemicordylus capensis (graceful crag lizard), 78 nucleotides. NCBI's taxonomy places the organism in Eukaryota, Metazoa, Chordata, Lepidosauria, Squamata, Cordylidae. The record is from the annotation of a RefSeq genome assembly.
GGGGAUGGGACCAUAGCUCAGUGGUAGAGCAUCUGCUUUGCAUGUAGAAGGUCCCAGGUUCAAUCCCUGGCAUCUCCA